RNAcentral lists this ribosomal RNA (529 nucleotides) under Drechslera sp. CT530. RNAcentral describes it as "eukaryotic LSU rRNA". The stretch from base 166 to 319 matches the Rfam family "5.8S ribosomal RNA". The record is from RNAcentral. Lineage: Eukaryota; Fungi; Ascomycota; Dothideomycetes; Pleosporales; Pleosporaceae.
GGGCGGGGCUGGGAACCUCUUCGGGGUUACCGCCUUUGCUGAAUUAUUUACCCUCUGUCUUUUUGCGUACUUUCUUGUUUCCUUUGGUGGGUUCGCCCACCACUAGAGACAAACAUAAACCUUUUUGUAAUUCGCAAUCAGCGUCAGUAACAAAUUAAUAAUUACAACUUUCAACAACGGAUCUCUCGGUUCUGGCAUCGAUGAAGAACGCAGCGAAAUGCGAUAAGUAGUGUGAAUUGCAGAAUUCAGUGAAUCAUCGAAUCUUUGAACGCACAUUGCGCCCUUUGGUAUUCCAAAGGGCAUGCCUGUUCGAGCGUCAUUUGUACCCUCAAGCUUUGCUUGGUGUUGGGCGUCUUGUCUCUAGCUUUGCUGGAGACUCGCCUUAAAGUAAUUGGCAGCCGGCCUACUGGUUUCGGAGCGCAGCACAAGUCGCACUCUCUAUCAGCAAAGGUCUAGCAUCCAUUAAGCCUUUUUUUCACUUUUGACCUCGGAUCAGGUAGGGAUACCCGCUGAACUUAAGCAUAUCAAA